GAUGAACGCUGGCGGCGUGCCUAAUACAUGCAAGUCGAGCGAACAGAUGAGGAGCUUGCUCCUCUGACGUUAGCGGCGGACGGGUGAGUAACACGUGGAUAACCUACCUAUAAGACUGGGAUAACUUCGGGAAACCGGAGCUAAUACCGGAUAAUAUAUUGAACCGCAUGGUUCAAUAGUGAAAGACGGUUUUGCUGUCACUUAUAGAUGGAUCCGCGCCGCAUUAGCUAGUUGGUAAGGUAACGGCUUACCAAGGCAACGAUGCGUAGCCGACCUGAGAGGGUGAUCGGCCACACUGGAACUGAGACACGGUCCAGACUCCUACGGGAGGCAGCAGUAGGGAAUCUUCCGCAAAGGGCGAAAGCCUGACGGAGCAACGCCGCGUGAGUGAUGAAGGUCUUCGGAUCGUAAAACUCUGUUAUUAGGGAAGAACAAAUGUGUAAGUAACUAUGCACGUCUUGACAGUACCUAAUCAGAAAGCCACGGCUAACUACGUG
Molecule: ribosomal RNA, 497 nt
Filed under: uncultured bacterium
Lineage: Bacteria
Description: partial 16S ribosomal RNA
Rfam family: Bacterial small subunit ribosomal RNA
Source: RNAcentral